RNAcentral lists this ribosomal RNA (451 nucleotides) under uncultured bacterium. RNAcentral describes it as "bacterial SSU rRNA". It matches the Rfam family "Bacterial small subunit ribosomal RNA", at positions 30 to 474 of the family's 1533-position model. The record is from RNAcentral.
AUUGAACGCUGGCGGCAUGCCUUACACAUGCAAGUCGAACGGCAGCACGGGGGCAACCCUGGUGGCGAGUGGCGAACGGGUGAGUAAAACAUCGGAACGUGCCCUGAAGUGGGGGAUAACGUAGCGAAAGUUACGCUAAUACCGCAUAUUCUGUGAGCAGGAAAGCAGGGGAUCGCAAGACCUUGCGCUUUAGGAGCGGCCGAUGUCGGAUUAGCUAGUUGGUGAGGUAAAGGCUCACCAAGGCGACGAUCCGUAGCGGGUCUGAGAGGAUGAUCCGCCACACUGGGACUGAGACACGGCCCAGACUCCUACGGGAGGCAGCAGUGGGGAAUUUUGGACAAUGGGCGAAAGCCUGAUCCAGCCAUGCCGCGUGAGUGAAGAAGGCCUUCGGGUUGUAAAGCUCUUUCGGCGGGGAAGAAAUCGCAUUCUCUAAUACAAGAUGUGGAUGACG